This 870-nucleotide ribosomal RNA is filed under the name uncultured bacterium. Its description in RNAcentral is "bacterial SSU rRNA". It matches the Rfam family "Bacterial small subunit ribosomal RNA", at positions 28 to 896 of the family's 1533-position model. The record is from RNAcentral.
AUUGAACGCUGGCGGCAGGCCUAACACAUGCAAGUCGAGCGAGAAAGGUCUUCGGACUGAGUACAGCGGCGGACGGGUGAGUAACGCGUAGGAAUCUACCUGGUAGUGGGGGACAACAUGGGGAAACUCAUGCUAAUACCGCAUACGCCCUAUGGGGGAAAGCGGGGGACCUUCGGGCCUCGCGCUAUCAGAUGAGCCUGCGUAGGAUUAGCUUGUUGGUGAGGUAAAGGCUCACCAAGGCGACGAUCCUUAGCUGGUCUGAGAGGAUGAUCAGCCACACUGGGACUGAGACACGGCCCAGACUCCUACGGGAGGCAGCAGUGGGGAAUAUUGCGCAAUGGGCGAAAGCCUGACGCAGCCAUGCCGCGUGUGUGAAGAAGGCCUUAGGGUUGUAAAGCACUUUCAAUUGGGAAGAAAGGUUGCGUGUUAAUAGCACGUAGCUGUGACGUUACCUUUAGAAGAAGCACCGGCUAACUCCGUGCCAGCAGCCGCGGUAAUACGGAGGGUGCGGGCGUUAAUCGGAAUUACUGGGCGUAAAGCGCGCGUAGGCGGUUUGUUAAGUCGGAUGUGAAAGCCCCGGGCUCAACCUGGGAAUUGCCUUCGAUACUGGCCGACUAGAGUACGAGAGAGGGAGGUAGAAUUCCACGUGUAGCGGUGAAAUGCGUAGAUAUGUGGAGGAAUACCGGUGGCGAAGGCGGCCUCCUGGCUCGAUACUGACGCUGAGGUGCGAAAGCGUGGGUAGCAAACAGGAUUAGAUACCCUGGUAGUCCACGCCGUAAACGAUGUCUACUAGCCGUUGGGAGACUUGAUUUCUUAGUGGCGCAGCUAACGCACUAAGUAGACCGCCUGGGGAGUACGGCCCGCAGGUUA